AGAGUUUGAUCCUGGCUCAGAACGAACGCUGGCGGCAGGCCUAACACAUGCAAGUCGAACGCUUCAGCAAUGAAGAGUGGCAGACGGGUGAGUAACGCGUGGGAACCUUCCCAGUGGUACGGAAUAGCCCAGGGAAACUUGGGGUAAUACCGUAUAAGCCCUUAGGGGGAAAGAUUUAUCGCCAUUGGAUGGGCCCGCGUCGGAUUAGCUUGUUGGUGAGGUAAAAGCUCACCAAGGCGACGAUCCGUAGCUGGUCUGAGAGGAUGAUCAGCCACACUGGGACUGAGACACGGCCCAGACUCCUACGGGAGGCAGCAGUGGGGAAUAUUGGACAAUGGGCGCAAGCCUGAUCCAGCCAUGCCGCGUGAGUGACGAAGGCCUUAGGGUUGUAAAGCUCUUUUGGCGGGGACGAUAAUGACGGUACCCGCAGAAUAAGCUCCGGCUAACUUCGUGCCAGCAGCCGCGGUAAUACGAAGGGAGCUAGCGUUGUUCGGAAUUACUGGGCGUAAAGCGCACGUAGGCGGAUUUGUUAGUCAGGGGUGAAAUCCCGGGGCCCAACCUCGGAACUGCCUUUGAUACUGCAAGUCUGGAGUCCGGAAGAGGUGGGUGGAAUUCCUAGUGUAGAGGUGAAAUUCGUAGAUAUUAGGAAGAACACCGGUGGCGAAAGCGGGCCCAUGGUCCGGUACUGACGCUGAGGUG
RNAcentral lists this ribosomal RNA (699 nucleotides) under uncultured bacterium. RNAcentral describes it as "bacterial SSU rRNA". It matches the Rfam family "Bacterial small subunit ribosomal RNA", at positions 8 to 753 of the family's 1533-position model. The record is from RNAcentral.